This 460-nucleotide ribosomal RNA is filed under the name uncultured bacterium. RNAcentral's name for it is "partial 16S ribosomal RNA". It matches the Rfam family "Bacterial small subunit ribosomal RNA", at positions 338 to 795 of the family's 1533-position model. The record is from RNAcentral.
CCUACGGGCGGCUGCAGUGAGGAAUAUUGGUCAAUGGGCGCUAGCCUGAACCAGCCAAGUAGCGUGAAGGAUGACUGCCCUAUGGGUUGUAAACUUCUUUUAUAUGGGAAUAAAGUGCAGUAUGUAUACUGCUUUGCAUGUACCUUAUGAAUAAGGAUCGGCUAACUCCGUGCCAGCAGCCGCGGUAAUACGGAGGAUCCGAGCGUUAUCCGGAUUUAUUGGGUUUAAAGGGAGCGUAGGCGGGUUGUUAAGUCAGUUGUGAAAGUUUGCGGCUCAACCGUAAAAUUGCAGUUGAUACUGGCAGCCUUGAGUACAGUAGAGGUAGGCGGAAUUCGUGGUGUAGCGGUGAAAUGCUUAGAUAUCACGAAGAACUCCGAUUGCGAAGGCAGCCUGCUGGACUGUAACUGACGCUGAUGCUCGAAAGUGUGGGUAUCAAACAGUAUUAGAUACCCUUGUAGUC